UACGGGGGGGGCAAGCGUUGUUCGGAAUUACUGGGCGUAAAGGGCUCGUAGGCGGUUAACUAAGUCAGACGUGAAAUCCCUCGGCUUAACCGGGGAACUGCGUCUGAUACUGGAUGGCUUGAGUUUGGGAGAGGGAUGUGGAAUUCCAGGUGUAGCGGUGAAAUGCGUAGAUAUCUGGAGGAACACCGGUGGCGAAGGCGGCAUCCUGGGCCAACACUGACGCUGAGUGAGCGAAAGCCAGGGGAGCAAACGGG
This 254-nucleotide ribosomal RNA is filed under the name uncultured bacterium. Its description in RNAcentral is "partial 16S ribosomal RNA". It matches the Rfam family "Bacterial small subunit ribosomal RNA", at positions 524 to 776 of the family's 1533-position model. The record is from RNAcentral.